GAUGAACGCUGGCGGCGUGCCUAAUACAUGCAAGUCGAGCGAACAGACGAGGAGCUUGCUCCUCUGACGUUAGCGGCGGACGGGUGAGUAACACGUGGAUAACCUACCUAUAAGACUGGGAUAACUUCGGGAAACCGGAGCUAAUACCGGAUAAUAUAUUGAACCGCAUGGUUCAAUAGUGAAAGACGGUUUUGCUGUCACUUAUAGAUGGAUCCGCGCCGCAUUAGCUAGUUGGUAAGGUAACGGCUUACCAAGGCAACGAUGCGUAGCCGACCUGAGAGGGUGAUCGGCCACACUGGAACUGAGACACGGUCCAGACUCCUGCGGGAGGCAGCAGUAGGGAAUCUUCCGCAAUGGGCGAAAGCUUGACGGAGCAACGCCGCGUGAGUGAUGAAGGUCUUCGGAUCGUAAAACUCUGUUAUUAGGGAAGAACAAAUGUGUAAGUAACUACGCACGUCUUGACGGUACCUAAUCAGAAAGCCACGGCUAACUACGUG
Molecule: ribosomal RNA, 497 nt
Filed under: uncultured bacterium
Lineage: Bacteria
Description: partial 16S ribosomal RNA
Rfam family: Bacterial small subunit ribosomal RNA
Source: RNAcentral